AUGGGAGGCGGGAGGCGGGGCUGUGCGUGGUGGCGUCAGACGGCAAUUUGGCGCGAAUUCGGGGUUGGGAGCAGGAGGGGCGGGUGUAUUCUAAUACCGUUCUUAUUCUGGAGCGGCUCGAGCUCUGGGGGGGACGUUAGCUGCGCGUGCAGCAGGGCCAGCGUUUGAACUGGAGCUCGUGCAAGUCCAGAGGAGCAGGAGGAGGGGCAGCAAGGGGGCUUCCCCAGGGUAGGGAUGGAGUCAGGAGGGGCAGCAGCGCCGGCCCGUGCGCGACGUGACUCACUCUGACUCUGCAAUUCUCGCCGUCUGCAUUUGGCCGAAACUGGCUUGCUGCUGAUGUAACUGUGUGUCAGCAACAGCCACCCGCUGGAGGGUCCCUUUUACCCACGGCCUGAUAAACUGGUUUAGCAGUGAGCCCGAGGCUGUGAUCUAUAAAUCAUCCUGACAGUUUAAAGGCUGCAAUUCUAGCCAGGGGACACCUCCAAUGCGCUUUCGAGAAGCGGCGCGCGGCCCGGUCUAAAUCUGUUUGACCGCAGCUUCGCCGCGUCUGAAUAACAUGUGGCUCAAUCGUCUGCUGCCCUUCAAAAUUAUCUGCUUGUGUACCCAAAGAGGAAGCACCGUGUGGUAUAAAGAGGCUAGCUUUCUCCGGGCGUCGCAGCCUCGCUCACCGCAAAGCUCAUUCAAGGCCCUCUGGGCAACUUUGCAUCAGUAAAAGCAAAAUUGCUGGCGCCAACAGUUAAAAAUAUUCGGCGGGGGGCCGCGGGUUAGCUGUGGCUACAUUAGAUUCCAGAGGCGCCCUGGUACAUGUAUCCUCCGAAGGAGGUUCUCCUCAGAGGCGAGCGUACGCGCUGGGAUUUUUAAAUGGCUUCCCCAGUUAAAAGGAAACAACUCGCAACCACCAUGAGAAGCAGGAGCAUCGCCCGGCCUGCGCAGACAAGAAUUCCCUGCGGCCAAACACUUCCACUGCGAAGGGAGGAGCAGAGCCGCCUCUCUCUCCCAGCAGCAGGGUGGUGGUGGUUGCGGUAGAGAAAGAUGGCCUUUGAGGAGGAAGAAAUAAAAAGGAGACUGGCUUUUCUUCGAAAAGGAGCGGGGCAUUUGAGUGUGAAUUUCAUCAAGCGUGUCAUCUUUCAGGACACGUUAAAGAGAGGGAAAGAGAAACUACUUGCAACACUGUCUUUUGAUGACUCCGUAGGUACUGCACUAUUUGUUUAUGGAAGACAAUCUUACUUGGCUACGAGUGAUCGCCAAAGAAGAAGAAUUUUAAGACAGCACCUGCACAUAAUGGUUAUGGGCUGUUCAUAUUUUGUAGGCUUCAUCUAUAAGAAACAUCAACUUGCUUACCGGUAUAUUAAAAUAGGUGGGAGACUGGAUGGAGAGCUGGCAGUGAGUGAGGGAUGUGAGUUAACCUGGCUUUUGAGUGUGAGGUGAAAUGUUGAGGAGCUCCGGUUGUGGUGAGAGUAUGAAUGCAGCUCACAAAUGUGAUUGGUGGGUAUUUGGUGAUUGUGCCAUUUCAAAUGUAACAUUCUGCUUGGAGCACUAACCAACCUUGUUUCACAAACAGCUUGUGAACAAACAAAAAAGGGCACAUUACACUAAACAUUACAGAUAGAUACAAGUAAUGUUAUGACUGAUAAGCUCUCAUGGGCUAAUUUGACCUUGGUGCUCUUAAUUAUCUGUUCAUUAUCCUGGUCAGUCUUUGCUGAAUUGAUAGCAAUGUUUGCACCUGCCUUUUAUUUAACCAAAGCUAAUCAUUUCAGCAAUGUUGUGUAUCCAACAACUACUCUCCUAACUAGAGGAAACUGUAACGAUGCAUUUAGGACCUUUAGUCUGGAAAAACAUCCAGGACUAGGAAUGGAAGAAUCUGACAUUUUUUGUUCUUUCAAUUUCACAUUCCUUCCAUCUUAAAUUAAGUUCUCCACAUUUCUGCAGCAAUCUGCAGAUUACAAAAACAACAACCAUCAUUAAAAUUUGUCAGCAUUUUACUGUGAAUUCCACUCUUGGUGUCACUCCUGGUUUGGAAAGCACU
This is a long non-coding RNA of Podarcis raffonei (Aeolian wall lizard), 2026 nucleotides long. RefSeq lists it as uncharacterized. NCBI's taxonomy places the organism in Eukaryota, Metazoa, Chordata, Lepidosauria, Squamata, Lacertidae. The record is from RefSeq and is a predicted model, not a curated record. The transcript is spliced from 2 exons.